Molecule: ribosomal RNA, 443 nt
Filed under: uncultured bacterium
Lineage: Bacteria
Description: partial 16S ribosomal RNA
Rfam family: Bacterial small subunit ribosomal RNA
Source: RNAcentral
CCUACGGGAGGCAGCAGUGGGGAAUAUUGCACAAUGGGCGCAAGCCUGAUGCAGCAACGCCGCGUGAAGGAAGAAGGCUUUCGGCUCGUAAACUUCUAUCAACAGGGACGAAAGAAAUGGCGUUACCUGAAUCAGAAGCCCCGGCUAACUACGUGCCAGCAGCCGCGGUAAUACGUAGGGGGCAAGCGUUAUCCGGAUUUACUGGUAGGAAAGGGUGAGUAGGCGGCAUGGUAAGCCAGAUGUGAAAGCUUUGGGCUUAACCCGAGGAUUGCAUUGGAAACUAUCAAGCUUGAGUACAGGAGAGGCAAGCGGAAUUCCUAGUGUAGCGGUGAAAUGCGUAGAUAUUAGGAAGAACACCAGUGGCGAAGGCGGCUUGCUGGACUGAAACUGACGCUGAGGCACGAAAGCGUGGGGAGCGAACAGGAUUAGAUACCCCUGUAGUC